This 403-nucleotide ribosomal RNA is filed under the name uncultured bacterium. RNAcentral describes it as "partial 16S ribosomal RNA". It matches the Rfam family "Bacterial small subunit ribosomal RNA", at positions 29 to 526 of the family's 1533-position model. The record is from RNAcentral.
AUUGAACGCUGGCGGCAGGCCUAACACAUGCAAGUCGAGCGAGCGGCGGACGGGUGAGUAAUGUAUGGGGACUGCCCGCUAGAGGGGGAUAACUACUGGAAACGGUGGCUAAUACCGCAUACUAUCGGAUAACCCAUAUGGGAUUAGCUAGUAGGUGGGGUAAAGGCUCACCUAGGCGACGAUCUCUAGCUGGUUUGAGAGGAUGAUUAGCCCCACUGGGACUGAGAACAGGGCCCGACUCGAAGGGAGGCAGGAGGGGGGAAUAUUGCCAAAUGGGGGGAAGCCUGAUUCAGCCAUGCCGGGUGUAUGAAGAAGGUCUUAGGGGUGUAAAGGACCUUCAGGCGGGAGGCGUUACCCGCAGAAGAAGCACCGGCUAACUCCGUGCCAGCAGCCGCGGUAAUAC